RNAcentral lists this ribosomal RNA (253 nucleotides) under uncultured bacterium. RNAcentral describes it as "partial 16S ribosomal RNA". It matches the Rfam family "Bacterial small subunit ribosomal RNA", at positions 524 to 776 of the family's 1533-position model. The record is from RNAcentral.
GACGUAGGGCGCAAGCGUUGUCCGGAUUUAUUGGGCGUAAAGAGCGUGUAGGCGGCCAUGCAGGUCCGUUGUGAAAACUCGAGGCUCAACCUCGAGACGCCGGUGGAAACCGUAUGGCUAGAGUCCGGAAGAGGAGAGUGGAAUUCCUGGUGUAGCGGUGAAAUGCGCAGAUAUCAGGAAGAACACCCGUGGCGAAGGCGGCUCUCUGGGACGUGACUGACGCUGAGACGCGAAAGCGUGGGGAGCAAACAGG